CCGGCGCACGGGUGAGUAACACGUAUGCAAUCCACCUGUAACAGGGGGAUAACACUGAGAAAUUGGUACUAAUACCCCAUAAUAUCAUAGAAGGCAUCUUUUAUGGUUGAAAAUUCCGAUGGUUAGAGAUGGGCAUGCGUUGUAUUAGCUAGUUGGUGGGGUAACGGCUCACCAAGGCGACGAUACAUAGGGGGACUGAGAGGUUAACCCCCCACACUGGUACUGAGACACGGACCAG
This 238-nucleotide ribosomal RNA is filed under the name uncultured bacterium. RNAcentral describes it as "partial 16S ribosomal RNA". It matches the Rfam family "Bacterial small subunit ribosomal RNA", at positions 95 to 334 of the family's 1533-position model. The record is from RNAcentral.